This 300-nucleotide ribosomal RNA is filed under the name uncultured Phaeobacter sp. RNAcentral describes it as "bacterial SSU rRNA". It matches the Rfam family "Bacterial small subunit ribosomal RNA", at positions 114 to 432 of the family's 1533-position model. Lineage: Bacteria; Pseudomonadati; Pseudomonadota; Alphaproteobacteria; Rhodobacterales; Roseobacteraceae. The record is from RNAcentral.
CGCGUGGGAACGUACCCUUUUCUACGGAAUAGCCUCGGGGAAACUGAGAGUAAUACCGUAUACGCCCUUCGGGGGAAAGAUUUAUCGAGAAGGAUCGGCCGCGUUAGAUUAGAUAGUUGGUGGGGUAAUGGCCUACCAAGUCUACGAUCUAUAGCUGGUUUUAGAGGAUGAUCAGCAACACUGGGACUGAGACACGGCCCAGACUCCUACGGGAGGCAGCAGUGGGGAAUCUUGGACAAUGGGCGCAAGCCUGAUCCAGCCAUGCCGCGUGUGUGAUGAAGGCCUUAGGGUCGUAAAGCA